Molecule: ribosomal RNA, 253 nt
Filed under: uncultured bacterium
Lineage: Bacteria
Description: partial 16S ribosomal RNA
Rfam family: Bacterial small subunit ribosomal RNA
Source: RNAcentral
UACGUAGGGUGCGAGCGUUAAUCGGAAUUACUGGGCGUAAAGCGUGCGCAGGCGGUGAUGUAAGACAGAUGUGAAAUCCCCGGGCUCAACCUGGGACCUGCAUUUGUGACUGCAUCGCUAGAGUACGGCAGAGGGGGAUGGAAUUCCGCGUGUAGCAGUGAAAUGCGUAGAUAUGCGGAGGAACACCGAUGGCGAAGGCAAUCCCCUGGACCUGUACUGACGCUGAGGUGCGAAAGCGUGGGGAGCAAACAGG